UACGUAGGGCGCAAGCGUUAUCCGGAAUUAUUGGGCGUAAAGAGCUCGUAGGCGGUCUGUCGCGUCGAUCGUGAAAACUUGGGGCUUAACCCUGAGCUUGCGGUCGAUACGGGCAUGACUAGAGUUCGGCAGGGGAGACUGGAAUUCCUGGUGUAGCGGUGAAAUGCGCCAGAUAUCAGGAGGGACACCGGUGGCGAAGGCGGGUCUCUGGGCCGAUACUGACGCUGAGGAGCGAAAGCGUGGGGAGCGAACAGG
RNAcentral lists this ribosomal RNA (255 nucleotides) under uncultured bacterium. Its description in RNAcentral is "partial 16S ribosomal RNA". It matches the Rfam family "Bacterial small subunit ribosomal RNA", at positions 524 to 776 of the family's 1533-position model. The record is from RNAcentral.